GCUUGUCGAGCGGCAGCGACAACAUUGACCCUUCGGGGGAUUUGUUGGGCGGCGAGCGGCGGACGGGUGAGUAAUGCCUGGGAACAUGCCUUAGUGUGGGGGAUAACCAUUGGAAACGAUGGCUAAUACCGCAUAAUCUCUACGGAGCAAAGAGGGGGACCUUCGGGCCUCUCGCGCUAAGAUUGGCCCAGGUGGGAUUAGCUAGUAGGUGGGGUAACGGCUCACCUAGGCGACGAUCCCUAGCUGGUCUGAGAGGAUGAUCAGCCACACUGGAACUGAGACACGGUCCAGACUCCUACGGGAGGCAGCAGUGGGGAAUAUUGCACAAUGGGGGAAACCCUGAUGCAGCCAUGCCGCGUGUGUGAAGAAGGCCUUCGGGUUGUAAAGCACUUUCAGCAGUGAGGAAGGCGGUAUCGUUAAUAGCGGUAUUGUUUGACGUUAGCUGCAGAAGAAGCACCGGCUAACUCCGUGCCAGCAGCCGCGGUAAUACGGAGGGUGCGAGCGUUAAUCGGAAUUACUGGGCGUAAAGCGCAUGCAGGCGGCUUGUUAAGCCAGAUGUGAAAGCCCGGGGCUCAACCUCGGAAUCGCAUUUGGAACUGGCAGGCUAGAGUCUUGUAGAGGGGGGUAGAAUUUCAGGUGUAGCGGUGAAAUGCGUAGAGAUCUGAAGGAAUACCGGUGGCGAAGGCGGCCCCCUGGACAAAGACUGACGCUCAGAUGCGAAAGCGUGGGGAGCAAACAGGAUUAUAUACCCUGGUAGUCCACGCCGUAAACGAUGUCUACUUGGAGGUUGGUGUCUUGAACACUGGCUUUCGGAGCUAACGCGUUAAGUAGACCGCCUGGGGGAGUACGGUCGCAAGAUUAAAACUCAAAUGAAUUGACGGGGGCCCGCACAA
RNAcentral lists this ribosomal RNA (893 nucleotides) under Photobacterium ganghwense. Its description in RNAcentral is "bacterial SSU rRNA". It matches the Rfam family "Bacterial small subunit ribosomal RNA", at positions 57 to 928 of the family's 1533-position model. Lineage: Bacteria; Pseudomonadati; Pseudomonadota; Gammaproteobacteria; Vibrionales; Vibrionaceae. The record is from RNAcentral.